This 490-nucleotide ribosomal RNA is filed under the name uncultured bacterium. Its description in RNAcentral is "partial 16S ribosomal RNA". It matches the Rfam family "Bacterial small subunit ribosomal RNA", at positions 34 to 507 of the family's 1533-position model. The record is from RNAcentral.
UCUGCCCGCUCGCUACAGGCUUAACACAUGCAAGUCGAGGGGCAGCAUGGUCUUAGCUUGCUAAGGCCGAUGGCGACCGGCGCACGGGUGAGUAACACGUAUCCAACCUGCCGUCUACUCUUGGACAGCCUUCUGAAAGGAAGAUUAAUACAAGAUGGCAUCAUGAGUCCGCAUGUUCACAUGAUUAAAGGUAUUCCGGUAGACGAUGGGGAUGCGUUCCAUUAGAUAGUAGGCGGGGUAACGGCCCACCUAGUCUUCGAUGGAUAGGGGUUCUGAGAGGAAGGUCCCCCACAUUGGAACUGAGACACGGUCCAAACUCCUACGGGAGGCAGCAGUGAGGAAUAUUGGUCAAUGGGCGCAGGCCUGAACCAGCCAAGUAGCGUGAAGGAUGACUGCCCUAUGGGUUGUAAACUUCUUUUAUAAAGGAAUAAAGUCGGGUAUGUAUACCCGUUUGCAUGUACUUUAUGAAUAAGGAGCGGCUAACUCCGUG